UGCCAGCAGCCGCGGUAAUACGGAGGGGGCUAGCGUUGUUCGGAAUUACUGGGCGUAAAGCGUGCGUAGGCGGAUUAUUAAGUUAGAGGUGAAAUCCCAGGGCUCAACCCUGGAACUGCCUUUAAAACUGGUAAUCUAGAGUUAUGGAGAGGUAAGUGGAAUUCCUAGUGUAGAGGUGAAAUUCGUAGAUAUUAGGAGGAACACCAGAGGCGAAGGCGGCUUACUGGACAUAUACUGACGCUGAGGCACGAAAGUGUGGGUAGCAAACAGGAUUAGAUA
Molecule: ribosomal RNA, 279 nt
Filed under: uncultured bacterium
Lineage: Bacteria
Description: partial 16S ribosomal RNA
Rfam family: Bacterial small subunit ribosomal RNA
Source: RNAcentral